GGUUGAAGUCUGGCGGCCGGUUAAGACGGGCACUUCAAGGGGGAGGGUUCCUUUUGCUGAAGCGUCAACCGGCGCCCGGGUGAGUAACCGUAUGUCACCUGCCCUCUAGACGGAGAAAACGCCGGGGAACGGGCGCUGCUACUCCAUGACCUUGGUUGGUGGAGUCCUUGAUUGGGAAAGGCUCCGGCGCUUGAAGAUGGGCCUGCGUGUCAUCAGUCCGCCGCUAGAGUAACGGCCUCCCCAGGGCCACAAUGACUAGGGGGGUGGAAACGAUGACCCCCCCCCCGGGUACUGAAACCCGCACCCAACCCCUACGGAAGGCACCACUGGGAAAUAUUGGGCAAUGAACGCAAUUCUGACCCAGCCCUGCCCCUGGCAGAAUAACUGCCCUAUGGGUUGUAAACUGCUUUUGUUUGGGAAGAAACCCCCGAUCGUGAUCGGGGCUGACGGUACCAUACGAAUAAGCAUCCGCUAACUCCCUGCCGACACCCGCGUUAAUACGGAUGACGCAAGCUCUAUCGUGAGUCAUUGGGUUGACAGGGUGCGCAGGCGGAAUAUUAGCUCAGUGCUGAAAUCCUGCAGCUUA
RNAcentral lists this ribosomal RNA (586 nucleotides) under uncultured organism. RNAcentral's name for it is "bacterial SSU rRNA". It matches the Rfam family "Bacterial small subunit ribosomal RNA", at positions 27 to 611 of the family's 1533-position model. The record is from RNAcentral.